RNAcentral lists this long non-coding RNA (706 nucleotides) under Monodelphis domestica (gray short-tailed opossum). RNAcentral describes it as "lncRNA (ENSMODG00000033695.2)". Lineage: Eukaryota; Metazoa; Chordata; Mammalia; Didelphimorphia; Didelphidae. The record is from RNAcentral.
AUGUACUGGGAAGGGGGAAGAUAGAAAAUGUCUCUCUGAAGGCAUCCCCAAAUCCUCUUCUCUUAAAUAAUCCAACUGACAUCUUGGUAACUCUCUUCCAUCUCUGGCACCAUCACCUCCAUCACCUUUCCCAGGGAUCUCCAGAAAAAAGUCCAGAAAGAAGUGCUAACCUUAUAGAACGAUGGUUUGAUGACUGUCAAGAGAGAGUUGGCGUUCUUUGCUGUUAAUACCCAUUGCUUUCUUUUUAAGGAUUCACAAUCUGCGACAUAAAGGAAUAAGAAGCAUGUUGAACUCAAAGAGUUCCAGUUGUUCUGCAGGACUUAUUCUGCUUAUGUGAACAUUGAGUUAAAUGCUGGUUUUCUUGGCAGAAAUACUGAAAUGGUUUGCCGUUUCCUUCUCCAGCUUUACAGAAGAGGAAACUGAGUCUUUACACCAUUUCAAUGUAAAGUGCCAAUUAUCCGGCAGUCUGAUUUCUGGAAACCUUAACCUUCGGAAAAGCAGCUGAGAAGUCAGAGAUAUGAAAAAACCUUGUGUCCAACAAACACAACCGGCAUCAAUUCCAAAGACUUUCCCAUAGAAGGAGAGUGGAGCUACAUUCUCUCCUCAGGAAGACAAUAUUUUGAUUUCCUUUUAUUUGCUUGUCUAUCUACUUUGCACACAGUACGAUUGCAAUAAAUGAUGAAUUGAACUGAAUUAAACUGAUUUU